RNAcentral lists this ribosomal RNA (478 nucleotides) under uncultured bacterium. RNAcentral's name for it is "bacterial SSU rRNA". It matches the Rfam family "Bacterial small subunit ribosomal RNA", at positions 30 to 527 of the family's 1533-position model. The record is from RNAcentral.
AUUGAACGCUGGCGGCAUGCCUUACACAUGCAAGUCGAACGGCAGCGGACCUUCGGGUGCCGGCGAGUGGCGAACGGGUGAGUAAUAUAUCGGAACGUACCUUUCAGUGGGGGAUAACGUAGCGAAAGUUACGCUAAUACCGCAUAUUCUGUGAGCAGGAAAGCAGGGGAUCGCAAGACCUUGCGCUGAUUGAGCGGCCGAUAUCAGAUUAGCUAGUUGGUGAGGUAAAGGCUCACCAAGGCGACGAUCUGUAGCGGGUCUGAGAGGAUGAUCCGCCACACUGGAACUGAGACACGGUCCAGACUCCUACGGGAGGCAGCAGUGGGGAAUUUUGGACAAUGGGCGCAAGCCUGAUCCAGCAAUGCCGCGUGAGUGAUGAAGGCCUUAGGGUUGUAAAGCUCUUUUACCAGGGAUGAUAAUGACAGUACCUGGAGAAUAAGCUCCGGCUAACUCCGUGCCAGCAGCCGCGGUAAAGUCG